Molecule: ribosomal RNA, 497 nt
Filed under: uncultured bacterium
Lineage: Bacteria
Description: partial 16S ribosomal RNA
Rfam family: Bacterial small subunit ribosomal RNA
Source: RNAcentral
GAUGAACGCUGGCGGCGUGCCUAAUACAUGCAAGUCGAGCGAACAGACGAGGAGCUUGCUCCUCUGACGUUAGCGGCGGACGGGUGAGUAACGCGUGGAUAACCUACCUAUAAGACUGGGAUAACUUCGGGAAACCGGAGCUACUACCGGAUAAUAUAUUGAACCGCAUGGUUCAAUAGUGAAUGACGGUUUUGCUGUCACUUAUAGAUGGUUCCGCGUCGCAUUAGCUAGUUGGUAAGGUAACGGCUUACCAAGGCGACGAUGCGUAGCCGACCUGAGAGGGUGAUCGGCCACACUGGAACUGAGACACGGUCCAGACUCCUACGGGAGGCAGCAGUAGGGAAUCUUCCGCAAUGGGCGAAAGCCUGACGGAGCAACGCCGCGUGGGUGAUGAAGGUCUUCGGAUCGUAAAACUCUGUUAUUAGGGAAGAACAAAUGUGUAAGUAACUAUGCACGUCUUGACGGUACCUAAACAGAAAGCCACGGCUAACUACGUG